Molecule: ribosomal RNA, 419 nt
Filed under: uncultured bacterium
Lineage: Bacteria
Description: bacterial SSU rRNA
Rfam family: Bacterial small subunit ribosomal RNA
Source: RNAcentral
AAGGAAUAUUGCUCAAUGGGAGAAAUCCUGAAGCAGCAACGCCGCGUGGAGGAUGAAGGGUCUAUGACUUGUAAACUCCUGUAAAGAAGGAAAAAAUUCCCAUUUGAUGGGAGAUGAUGGUACUUCUGGAGUAAGCCCCGGCUAACUACGUGCCAGCAGCCGCGGUAAUACGUAGGGGGCAAGCGUUGUCCGGAUUUACUGGGUGUAAAGGGUGCUCAGGCGGAUUUGUAAGUCAGAGGUGAAAUCUUACAGCUUAACUGUGAAACUGCCUUUGAUACUGCAAGCCUAGAGUAUGGAAGAGAGUGAUGGAGUAUCUGGUGUAGCAGUGAGAUGCGUAGAUAUCAGAUAGAACACCAAUGGCGAAGGCAGUCACUUGGUCCAUUACUGACGCUAAAGCACGAAAGCGUGGGUAGCAAACA